CCUGCUCCUAGACGUGUUGCAGGUGAGGCUGCUGUGCCACAUGUUCGCCAGUAGGUGGCAGAGAGGAGAGUGCUCAGCGUUCUGAACUGUGAACAUCUGAAUGAUUAGUAGUAGCCUAACAAU
This 123-nucleotide small nucleolar RNA is filed under the name Mus pahari (shrew mouse). RNAcentral's name for it is "predicted gene, 23270 (MGP_PahariEiJ_G0034243.1)". It matches the Rfam family "Small nucleolar RNA SNORA17". From Rfam's summary of the family: snoRNA ACA 17 belongs to the H/ACA family of snoRNAs and is predicted to guide pseudouridylation of the 28S rRNA at positions U4659 and U4598. It shares the same host gene together with ACA43. Lineage: Eukaryota; Metazoa; Chordata; Mammalia; Rodentia; Muridae. The record is from RNAcentral.